GGCCCGUUGGUCAAGUGGUUAAGACAUCGCCCUUUCACGGCGGUAUCAGGGGUUCGAAUCCCCUACGGGUCAC
RNAcentral lists this transfer RNA (73 nucleotides) under Cerasibacillus quisquiliarum. RNAcentral's name for it is "tRNA-Glu". It matches the Rfam family "tRNA". Rfam says of the family: Transfer RNA (tRNA) molecules are approximately 80 nucleotides in length. Lineage: Bacteria; Bacillati; Bacillota; Bacilli; Caryophanales; Bacillaceae. The record is from RNAcentral.